GCCUCAGGCAGGAUCAGGGGUCACAGCCACACCUGCAGGACUGAGCAGGUGAAAACAAGUCAGGCUGUGAAAGAAAUCCCCCUUUUCUAAACUUUGCCUUGGAGUCCAUGACCUGAUGGGACAGGACUCAGACCUGGGGCAGGGAGGUCUGGGUUUUCCUCCAACCCUGUCACCUUUGUGAAGCUGAUUCUUUUCUGUGCCUCAGUGGCCUUGUCCGCAAUGCAGACUAAACCCCCUUUCACAGUCACCUUCCAGAACCCGAGUACACGUCACAAGCUCCCAGGCAUCCACAGGGGCACUGCACUUCACAGUUGAUGGAAAUGCUUCUCCUCCCUCAUCUCUGAGGAAAUGAAGGUCUGAUGGGAUUGAAAGCCAUCUACAGGUGGCCUUGCCACUUCUAAAUGAAAAAGGCGAAAAGUGGGAAGUUGCAUUCAGCGUGUGUUUUGCACGAAUGGUUGUAGAGGCAGCAAGAUGGGCCCGGCCAACUUCUUUCCUGGAACCACUCAGCAUCUCAGCAUCUCCACAUCUCAGCACCUCCGAAUCUCAGCAUCCAGCUCGAGCUGUGAACCACAUCUGUGGUGCAUCUGUGCUUUAUCUGGUUUAUUUCAUGGACCUAAGGUGACAAAACUAAUUACACUCAACACAUGUUCAUUCCGGGACCUGCUCUAGGUGCUAGGAAACAUCAGAGAGGACGUCACACAUACAGGUAAACACACACAUUGUAUAAUGUGCCCUCACCAUGUCGCACUGAAACUAUUGUACAGUCGGGUCUUCCUGCCUCUAAUUUCUCCCCAGUUCAAUUCAUCCUUCAUGGCCACCAUGUUGUGUUCCUAAAAAACAUAUAGAAUUAUGUAUAUAUUUCUGUAUAUAAUUACAUAUGCAUUUAUGUAUAUAAUUAAUUCAUGCAUUUAUC
Molecule: long non-coding RNA, 913 nt
Filed under: Sus scrofa (pig)
Lineage: Eukaryota; Metazoa; Chordata; Mammalia; Artiodactyla; Suidae
Description: lncRNA (ENSSSCG00055006500.1)
Source: RNAcentral